GGGCUUGUAGUUUAAAGGUAAAACACGUUGCUCAUAACAACGCUGAUGUAGGUUCAAUCCCUGCUAGGCCCA
This is a non-coding RNA of Coccomyxa sp. Obi, 72 nucleotides long. The record is from the annotation of a GenBank genome assembly. Lineage: Eukaryota; Viridiplantae; Chlorophyta; Trebouxiophyceae; Coccomyxaceae.